UGACGCGCAGUCGCCCCCCCAGGCAGCCCAGGCAGCGGCAGCAGCUGCGGCGCCUGCCACGGCAGAUUCGGAGCGCUGGGGCGAAGGGGCGCCAAGGCUGCUUUCUGCGCGCGCCCGACACCGUACGCCACCCCCCGGAGGCAGAGGCUGGAAGGCAUCUCCCCAGUCCCUGUCCCUCACCCCGCCGGAAAGAUGAACAAGCGAGAGGUCUGUUUUGCCUGAACCCAUCAACAGCUGGGAGAUUAAUCAACCACACGGAAAAUGUGCUUGGGAUGGGGGUGGGGGAGGGGUCGAAUGUAGAUGUUUCAGACAAACGUGUAUAAAUAAAUGAAUUGUUGGUAACUUA
Long non-coding RNA from Cavia porcellus (domestic guinea pig), 346 nucleotides. RefSeq lists it as uncharacterized. Lineage: Eukaryota; Metazoa; Chordata; Mammalia; Rodentia; Caviidae. The transcript has 2 exons. The record is from RefSeq and is a predicted model, not a curated record.